This 337-nucleotide unclassified non-coding RNA is filed under the name soil metagenome. RNAcentral describes it as "partial contains 5.8S ribosomal RNA, internal transcribed spacer 2, and large subunit ribosomal RNA". The stretch from base 1 to 120 matches the Rfam family "5.8S ribosomal RNA", at positions 35 to 154 of the family's 154-position model. The record is from RNAcentral.
GAUGAAAAACGUAGCGAAAUGCGAUAAGUAGUGUGAAUUGCAGAAUUCAGUGAAUCAUCGAAUCUUUGAACGCACAUUGCGCCCCUUGGUAUUCCAUGGGGCAUGCCUGUUCGAGCGUCAUUUGUACCUUCAAGCUCUGCUUGGUGUUGGGUGUUUGUCUCGCCUCUGCGUGUAGACUCGCCUCAAAACAAUUGGCAGCCGGCGUAUUGAUUUCGGAGCGCAGUACAUCUCGCGCUUUGCACUCAUAACGACGACGUCCAAAAGUACAUUUUUACACUCUUGACCUCGGAUCAGGUAGGGAUACCCGCUGAACUUAAGCAUAUCAAUAAGCGGAGGA